Molecule: non-coding RNA, 1347 nt
Organism: Leptonychotes weddellii (Weddell seal)
Lineage: Eukaryota; Metazoa; Chordata; Mammalia; Carnivora; Phocidae
Source: RefSeq, a predicted model, not a curated record
UUCUCUCCCUCUCUCUUCCUCCCUCUCAAAAGAAAAUUUUUUUUACAACUCAAGGAAAUCUUAGACCAACUAGUCUGCUCUUUCCGUAUGCCUCUGCCUGUCUCCCUGAUGGUAUGUUCUUUCAUCAAGACAUUGACACUGACUGCUGAGUGUCUUCUGAGCAGUUUCUGUUACAAGCACUGUUUCAGGUGCUUGAGAUAUAAAGCUGAGUAGGUAUUAAUUACAAGAUCGGUUUACCAAUUAUCCCCUUUCCCCCAGAGGUGACGGAAAGUUCUCCCUGCAGAACACUCUUACUGAGCAGAAGUUGUUGGACAAACAGAGUCAGAACAAAGUGAAUCACAGAUCCCAAAAGCGUAUUUCUUCCAAGAUUGGGAAGUUUUCCAUUGCCCUUUUCCAUACUAGGGUUCUUGUAUCUGAAGAUGGAGGAAUAACUAAUAGUAAUUAACUAAUAAGUAAUAAAUUAACCAACAGUUAACCAUCUCUUAACCUGAGUAUUGUAUGUUCAGUUUCCACCCUCCUCAGAAUCAGAAUCCUACUGAUAGCGAUAAGGAAAACUUGUAUUCAGGCCACCAGUGUGGUUGGGCGGGUUGUUCACUGCCCAGGGGCGCUCAGCUGGAAGGGGCUUGGUCUCGGGAAUCUAACCCACACUCUGCAUGCAGCUGCUCCGAGGGAGAGGUUCCUUGGCUGUUCCAUGUAAAGCAGCCAUACGAGAAACUUGUAUUGAAUGUUUAAGCCGCAAGACGCUGUUCCGAAUGUCUGACGUAUAGUCACUUAGACCCACUACCCUUCCCCUGAGGUUAGUAAUAUUAUUGUUGACAUUAUUAUUAUCUCCAAUUUUAGCUUGGGCUUUGAGACACAAAGUGAUAGCAAGUUGGGGAUGCAGUAUUCACAUACUGGUGGUCUGAUUCUAGAGCCUACACCCUUCACUGCACUGUUCUCUUCUCCCUCAAGCACAUCCUUUGGCUUCAGAGUCCUCUCCCUGUUUCCGUGUCUGUCAUCCCUAGCUCUCAGCUCUCGUUUCUCUUCCUGUGAGACCUUGGAGUCCCAUGUGCGUAGUUUUGUCUUCAGAAGUAGCAGAGAGGCAAGAUCUAGAAUACCAGUUCUGGUGUGAGCUGGAGUCCAGUUCCGCCCGUGUGUCUUGACCUCAUCAAGCCUCAGCUUCCUCGUCUGUUAAAUAGAAGCCACAGUCCUCAUCAUCACUGAUUGAGAACUUCCUAAAAUGCCAGCUGAGGACAGGCACAGAGGUGUAGGCGAUUGGACCAAAGUCACACUAGUGUGACAGAGCUUCGUCACAGGACUCAGCCCUUUCUUAGAAGGACGAGGACAAAAUGACCAAGUUCAAGGUGA